This 422-nucleotide ribosomal RNA is filed under the name uncultured bacterium. RNAcentral describes it as "partial 16S ribosomal RNA". It matches the Rfam family "Bacterial small subunit ribosomal RNA", at positions 360 to 774 of the family's 1533-position model. The record is from RNAcentral.
AAUUUUGGACAAUGGGGGAAACCCUGAUCCAGCCAUCCCGCGUGUAUGAUGAAUGCAUUCGGGUUGUAAAGUACUUUUGGCAGAGAAGAAAAGGUAUCUCCUAAUACGAGAUACUGCUGACGGUAUCCGCAGAAUAAGCACCUGCUAACUCCGUGCCAUCAGCCGCGGGAAUACGGAGGGUUCAAGCGUUAACAGUAAUUACGGGGCGUAAAGCGUGUGUAGGCGGUUCGGAAAGAAAGAUGUGAAAUCCCAGGGCUCAACCUUGGAACUGCAUUUUUAACUGCCGAGCUAGAGUAUGUCAGAGGGGGGUAGAAUUCCACGUGUAGCAGUGAAAUGCGUAGAUAUGUGGAGGAAUACCGAUGGCGAAGGCAGCCCCCUGGGAUAAUACUGACGCUCAGACACGAAAGCGUGGGGAGCAAACA